UGGGGAAUAUUGGACAAUGGGCGCAAGCCUGAUCCAGCCAUGCCGCGUGAGUGAUGAAGGCCUUAGGGUUGUAAAGCUCUUUCGGCGGGGACGAUAAUGACGGUACCCGCGGAAGAAGCCCCGGCUAACUUCGUGCCAGCAGCCGCGGUAAUACGAAGGGGGCUAGCGUUGCUCGGAAUCACUGGGCGUAAAGGGCGCGUAGGCGGACAUUUAAGUCGGGGGUGAAAGCCCAGGGCUCAACCCUGGAAUUGCCUCCGAUACUGGGUGUCUCGAGACCGGAAGAGGUGAGUGGAACUGCGAGUGUAGAGGUGAAAUUCGUAGAUAUUCGCAAGAACACCAGUGGCGAAGGCGGCUCACUGGUCCGGUUCUGACGCUGAGGCGCGAAAGCGUGGGGAGCAAACAGGAUUAGAUACCCUGGUAGUCCACGCCGUAAACGAUGGAUGCUAGCCGUUGGCAGGCUUGCCUGUCAGUGGCGCAGCUAACGCUUUAAGCAUCCCGCCUGGGGAGUACGGCCGCAAGGUUAAAACUCAAAUGAAUUGACGGGGUCAUAGCUGUUUCCU
RNAcentral lists this ribosomal RNA (560 nucleotides) under uncultured bacterium. RNAcentral describes it as "partial 16S ribosomal RNA". It matches the Rfam family "Bacterial small subunit ribosomal RNA", at positions 355 to 1375 of the family's 1533-position model. The record is from RNAcentral.